AGAACAGAUAUACGCGCAAAUUAUAUAUCACGUUUGAAUCAGCAGCUCUUUGUUGAUAGUGCGAUCUUGUUAAAAGUAUGGUUUAAUUUCUCUGUUAAAAUAUACUUGAACUGCAACUAAGUGUCGGUGUAUUUAUUUGUCUCUUGACAUUCUUAACCAGUCUUUCUCUAUUCGGUGCUCGUUGUACUUGGUGCGCGGACGUGCGAGAACGUGCAAGAUCCUGUUGUGUAGGCAGAAUAAACGCACUAUCUACUUUCCACCGUGCUUUGCAGUUCUUUCGAAAAAAUACGCGAUUUAUUUGCGAUUAUAUGUAUGUACUUGUGAAGAAAAGUGAAUUGAGAUAUCAAUGAAUUUUCUAUAACCUCCUCUGCGAGAGUGUUAUUAAACUAUUCAAAUUGUGCAAACUACUUCUUAUUUUAAUGCUCAUCAUCAAUCCUAGAAUUCUCAGAGAAUUCUUUAUAAAAAUGGUAGAUAAUAACGAUUUCAAUCACUUCCCUGAAUCUAUUCCGACGCAAAGCAAUUAUUAUAAUCCAGUAAGCUUGAUUUUUGAGUAUAAUCAGAGGCAUUGGGUAAAAAUCGUUUAUCCAUAUAGUUAUGAAAUGUUUGAGGCAAAAGCAAAAGAAACAUUUUCCGAAUUAAAUGAUAAGCAAUUCAAAUUUUACGAUGAAAAGAAAGCUAUAUUAACAGGAGAAUUUUUAAUUGAACAUAUUCAGUUUUCCGGAAGAGGGUGCUAUUAUCACAAUUGAACUAGAUAAGCCAGUAAUACAAGAUUGCGAUUAGUUAACAACACCAACACUGAGUUCUUCUUCCAAUAUAACUCUUGCGGAUACUUCUGAAGAAGAUGAAGCAUCAGGAACUUCUUCACAAAAUAUUCACAAUUUACCAAUUUUACAUUCACAAGUAUCAAACAAAGGAGAGAUUGUUACAAACA
This is a long non-coding RNA of Pseudomyrmex gracilis, 931 nucleotides long. RefSeq lists it as uncharacterized. The record is from RefSeq and is a predicted model, not a curated record. The transcript is spliced from 5 exons. NCBI's taxonomy places the organism in Eukaryota, Metazoa, Arthropoda, Insecta, Hymenoptera, Formicidae.